RNAcentral lists this transfer RNA (98 nucleotides) under Streptomyces thermoviolaceus subsp. apingens. RNAcentral describes it as "tRNA-Pro". Lineage: Bacteria; Bacillati; Actinomycetota; Actinomycetes; Kitasatosporales; Streptomycetaceae. RNAcentral also lists the same sequence under 1 other name. The record is from RNAcentral.
ACCCGGCCUGCCGCGGGAGCGGGACCGGGUGCCGUCCCAGGAGGGCGGCGGUCGUGACCGGAUCGCGACCGCCGGCGGAUCUCAGCCGACGCCGGCGU